Non-coding RNA from Phascolarctos cinereus (koala), 1062 nucleotides. The record is from RefSeq and is a predicted model, not a curated record. NCBI's taxonomy places the organism in Eukaryota, Metazoa, Chordata, Mammalia, Diprotodontia, Phascolarctidae.
CAAGCACUUAUUGGAGGAAUAUUCUCGCAAAGCAUUGUGUUAGGUACUGAGAAGAGUGCAGAAAGAUAGAAUCCAUAGUCUUGAUGUCAAAGAGCUUAUAAGCUGCUUGGAGAGACAAAUUAUAGAUAUAUGAAUAGCAAUAAAAGCAGCCUGUACUUAGGAAACCUAUACUUAUACAGACAACACACAUGUGACAUAUAUAAAAGAGACAGAGCAUUAGGUUGGAAACAUUUGGAAAAAGGAAGGCUCUGGGACUUGAGAUGGGCUUUGAAAUAAAGCUAUUCUGGAGAAAAGAGGAAAUUGGAGAAUUCUUGGAGCACUGCUUGUGGUAGAUGAGGCCAUGAUAAAGGAAGAGAAGGCAGAACUACUCCACUCUUAAUUUUGUUUCAAUUCUACAACAAGCAAGUGAUUAUGAAGUGUUUCCUAUGCAAGAGGAACUGUGUUUGAUGCAGGGGACACACAGAAAAAGAAACUGACCUGUCAUCAAAAAACUUAUGUUCUAUUGGAUAUUUAUCUUGUAAAACGGCUACCAUUGAGAGCCAGAAAGAAGUUUGCAACAGCUGAACAACAGUUUUUGCGCUGACUUUCAUCAUAAUGCAAAGGUUCUCAUCCAGUCCUCUAUGUGACCAACUGACUGCAUUUACAAAGUUCCUGGCCUAGAAUUAGGGGGCUCACUUCUAAUAACAAAGCAGAAUAAUUUUCCAUGUGAAGCAAACAGGGAAACGUGAGGAUCAAACCUGCAUCCAUGGCUAAAAUGUCUAUGAUGAUUCAUCGAACAUGAGAGAUUUAUGGUUAUUAUUUCCUAAAGGUCACAUAGCAUGUUCAGAUUGAUGCUGGGAACAGAAUCCAGAUCUUCAGACUUCUUCAAUGACAUAUAUAUCCACUUAUUUCUGCCUUUUUUCACUAUUUCCUUUCCUAUUAUGGCCAUGAAAAAAAUAAUGCCUGCCCCAUGUCUUGUUCUAUGGCCCUGGGAAACUGUUCUUAUUGAGGGACUCCCUCUCAUUAGAAGAGAUGUCCCGGGCUUUACAGAACCCCAUAGGGCAAGAAAUAAGAUGGGAAAUA